GAAAUGCGAUACUUGGUGUGAAUUGCAGAAUCGAGACCAAUCACGUGCGAGCCGGUCAGUUCUGGACCCAUCGACGACCCUUUGCGUGCACGCACGCUCCCAACGAGACCUCAGGUCAGGCGGGGCUACCCGCUGAGUUUAA
This 142-nucleotide unclassified non-coding RNA is filed under the name uncultured fungus. RNAcentral's name for it is "sequence contains ITS1". The record is from RNAcentral. Lineage: Eukaryota; Fungi.